This 253-nucleotide ribosomal RNA is filed under the name uncultured bacterium. Its description in RNAcentral is "partial 16S ribosomal RNA". It matches the Rfam family "Bacterial small subunit ribosomal RNA", at positions 524 to 776 of the family's 1533-position model. The record is from RNAcentral.
UACGUAGGGUGCAAGCGUUGUCCGGAAUUAUUGGGCGUAAAGAGCUCGUAGGCGGCUUGUCACGUCGGAUGUGAAAGCCCGAGGCUUAACCUCGGGUCUGCAUUCGAUACGGGCUAGCUAGAGUGUGGUAGGGGAGAUCGGAAUUCCUGGUGUAGCGGUGAAAUGCGCAGAUAUCAGGAGGAACACCGGUGGCGAAGGCGGAUCUCUGGGCCGAUACUGACGCUGAGGAGCGAAAGCGUGGGGAGCGAACAGG